Molecule: ribosomal RNA, 287 nt
Filed under: uncultured bacterium
Lineage: Bacteria
Description: partial 16S ribosomal RNA
Rfam family: Bacterial small subunit ribosomal RNA
Source: RNAcentral
GGAUUAGAUACCCUGGUAGUCCACGCCGUAAACGAUGAUUACUCGUUUUUGGGUUUAAUGAUUCAGAGACUAAGCGAAAGUGAUAAGUAAUCCACCUGGGGAGUACGUUCGCAAGAAUGAAACUCAAAGGAAUUGACGGGGGCCCGCACAAGCGGUGGAGCAUGUGGUUUAAUUCGAUGAUACGCGAGGAACCUUACCAAGACUUAAAUGGGAAUUGACAGACGCAGAAAUGUGUUUUUCUUCGGACAAUUUUCAAGGUGCUGCAUGGUUGUCGUCAGCUCGUGCCG